UUGCUUUUGUGGUUUAUAAACGUGAUGAUUGGGUGUUCAUGCUGUUGUCUGAGAUGCGCCUCCCUCAAACCUUGUUACGAUGUUGACACGUUACCUGUCUGACG
Small nucleolar RNA from Diceros bicornis minor, 104 nucleotides. RefSeq annotates it as small nucleolar RNA U13. NCBI's taxonomy places the organism in Eukaryota, Metazoa, Chordata, Mammalia, Perissodactyla, Rhinocerotidae. The transcript has a single exon. The record is from RefSeq and is a predicted model, not a curated record.